GGAAAGGUGCUCGAGUGGUUGAAGAGGCACGCCUGGAAAGCGUGUAUACCCCUAAAGGGUAUCAAGAGUUCGAAUCUCUUCCUUUCCG
RNAcentral lists this transfer RNA (88 nucleotides) under Prevotella sp. Its description in RNAcentral is "tRNA-Ser". It matches the Rfam family "tRNA". Rfam says of the family: Transfer RNA (tRNA) molecules are approximately 80 nucleotides in length. Their secondary structure includes four short double-helical elements and three loops (D, anti-codon, and T loops). Further hydrogen bonds mediate the characteristic L-shaped molecular structure. tRNAs have two regions of fundamental functional importance: the anti-codon, which is responsible for specific mRNA codon recognition, and the 3' end, to which the tRNAs corresponding amino acid is attached (by aminoacyl-tRNA synthetases). tRNAs cope with the degeneracy of the genetic code in two manners: having more than one tRNA (with a specific anti-codon) for a particular amino acid; and 'wobble' base-pairing, i.e. permitting non-standard base-pairing at the 3rd anti-codon position. Lineage: Bacteria; Pseudomonadati; Bacteroidota; Bacteroidia; Bacteroidales; Prevotellaceae. The record is from RNAcentral.